This 361-nucleotide RNase P RNA is filed under the name Dictyoglomus sp. NZ13-RE01. Its description in RNAcentral is "RNase P RNA component class A". It matches the Rfam family "Bacterial RNase P class A". From Rfam's summary of the family: Ribonuclease P (RNase P) is a ubiquitous endoribonuclease, found in archaea, bacteria and eukarya as well as chloroplasts and mitochondria. Its best characterised activity is the generation of mature 5'-ends of tRNAs by cleaving the 5'-leader elements of precursor-tRNAs. Lineage: Bacteria; Pseudomonadati; Dictyoglomota; Dictyoglomia; Dictyoglomales; Dictyoglomaceae. The record is from RNAcentral.
GAAGUGGACCGGGCAACCGCGGAAUCCUCGAAAGAGGAUUCUGAGGAAAGUCCGAACACCACAGGGCAGGGUGCUGGGUAACACCCAGUCAGGGUGACCUGAAGGAAAGUGCCACAGAAAACAUACCGCCUAAGCUGAAAAGCUUAGGUAAGGGUGAAAAGGUGAGGUAAGAGCUCACCAGCAGAUGGGUGACCAUCUGGCUUGGUAAACCCCACCCGGUGCAAGGCCAAAUAGGAGGGGUUGAGGUGGCCCGCCGACCCUCGGGUUGGCCGCUUAAGGUAAUGAGUAAUCAUUACCUCAGAUAGAUGGUUGCCACUCCAAUAUUGGAGUACAGAAUUCGGCUUAUAGGUCCACUUCCUCC